RNAcentral lists this transfer RNA (2668 nucleotides) under Homo sapiens (human). RNAcentral describes it as "HSALNT0014888". The stretch from base 2368 to 2438 matches the Rfam family "tRNA". Lineage: Eukaryota; Metazoa; Chordata; Mammalia; Primates; Hominidae. The record is from RNAcentral.
UUGGCCGUGCUGGUCUUGAACUCCUGACCUCAAGUGAUUUGCCUGCUUUGGCCUCCCAAAGUGCUGGGAUUACAGACAUGAGUCACCAUGCCCUGCCUGCAGCUUCUUCUUGAAACUAGAUAAAAGUAAUUGCUGUAAGAUUCAAAUCAACAGGUGUUCUGGACUUGGAAGAUUUGUUGAAUUACUAUGAAGUCACAUCUAAAGUUUGAAAGUCUCGCUCUGUCGCCAGGCUGGAGUGCACGCUGGAGCGCGAUCUUGUCUUACUACAACCUCUGCCUCCCAGAUUCAAGCGAUUUUCCUGCCUCAGCCUCCCGAGUAGCUGGGACUACAGGGACGCACCACCAUGCCCAGCUAAUUUUUGUAUUUUUAGUAGAGAUGUGGUUUCACCAUGUUGGCCAGGAUGGUCUUGAUCUCUUGACCUCGUGAUCCACCCGCCUCGGCUUCCCAAAGUGCUGGGAUUAUAGGCAUAAGCCACCACGCCUGGCCUGAAAUUAUUUUUCUAUACAGUUCUUAGAGGAAGUGUUUGGGUCACCUACAUAGGCAUGUAGUUCUUGACACUGGUUACUAGAGGAUUUAUAGAGGAUGUUCAUAUAUUCAACAAGCAUUUGUUGAAUACCUAUUAGGUGCUAGCCAUGGAAAUAUGGGAUUGAAAAAAACAGACAAAAAUCCCUAAUCUCUCUUACAAUCUAGUGAGGACAAUCAGACAGUACACAAAAUAAGCAUAAUAUAUAGUAAUCAUGUGGUAGUAAGUUCUAUAGAGCAAAAACAAGUUUAAAGAAGGAGGUUGGGGGGAGUGUUGAGAUGCAUAAGGUUUGCAGUUAUAAAUGUGGUGGUUAGGGAAUCAUUUGCUGAAAAAUGAACAUUGAGCAAAAACCUGAAGGAUGUUAAAGGAAUAAGAUACAUGUAAUCCAGAUGAAAGUUUUUUGGAUAAAGGAAAGAGCAAUUGCUAAAUCCCUGAGGUGGGAGUGGGCUGUUCAUAAGACAGCAAAGCAGCCAGGGUAGCUGAGUGAUUGACAGCGGAAGAUGGAAAAUGGGGAAUAGUUGGUGUAGGACCUAGUUGUGAGGAUAUUGACUUUGUUUUUUUUCCAAGACAGAGCUGUGCUCUGUCGCCCAGGCUAGAGUGCAGUGGCAUGAUCUUGGCUCACUGCAAUCUCCGCCUCCCGGGUUCAAGCAAUGCUCCUGCCUUAGCCUCCCCAGUAGCUGGGAUUACAGGCACCUGCCACCAUGUCCAAUUAAUUUUUGUAUUUUUAGUAGAGAUGGGGUUUCGCCAUGUUAGCCAGGCUGGUCUUGGACUCCUGACCUCAAGUGAUCUGCCCGCCUCAGCCUCCCAAAGUGCUGGGAUUACAGGCGUGAGCCACCAUGCCCACCCUAGGAUAUUUACUUUUAUUUUGAAUAAGGAUGCCACUGGAGAGCUUUGAGGAGAGGAUCAGUCUGGCUACUGGGUUGGGAAUUAAUCAUAGCAGGCAAAGGCAAAAGAAGUGAGGUUAGUUAGGAGGCUUUACAACAACCCAGAUGAGAGAUGGGAGGUUUUAGCCAGGGAGAUGGAGAUGUUGAGAGAGUAGCUGGACUCAGGAUUGUGACAGUGGACUGAAGGAAAAGCAGGUUUUGGGGGAAGAUUGCAUUUCUCCCUUCAACUUCAGUUACGUAGAUCACCCAUAUGCCACACAACUGCAACUCUGUAACAGCCAAUUUUUAGCUUCUUCCUUAUCUAAGCCAUCCUGUAGGCCAUAGGAAUUAAAACUAGGUUGGAUCAAGGAAAAGUGAAUGCUAGAUCCAUACAAAACUAUUUGGAUAUUUGCCUUUGUAUUUUAUUGUUUUGAAAUUAUUUUUAAUGGUUCAAUAAACUCUUACUAGAACUACAAGCAAUAUAAUUAUUUCCUCUGCUUUAUUAGAAAUGUUUUUGUAAUCAUGUUAAUUAUAUUACUUUUAACUAUAUAAGGCUUGUGUCUCUUUUUUAUAAAUUGAUGUUUAUAUCCUCUGUAAGAUAAAUAUAAAGGCUUUUUGUUCAUAUGAGGAUGUGCUGUAAGAUUGCAGGGAGUAUAAAAAUUGGCAAUGGAGUAGGUGACUUGUAUUAUUAGUCUGAUCUUAAUGUUGUAACAUACUGAUCAUGCAAAAUAUAUAAUUAGUUUGUUUUUGCUAUUUAAUAUGUGUAGGACUGUAACAAACAGACUAGAGAAGAUGGCCAUAAGUUACAAGAAAGCAAGUAAAUUACUAUCUAAUUAAAAGUAUUUGAUUCUAAUACUAGCAGAGUUCUGUCUAGAAAAUAAAUUAACUUUCUGUAUGCUUUUUUUGGUCUCAAUUUUCCAAUAAUUUCCCUCAACUCUGAUAUGUGUCUGUUGAAUAAUAUUUCUGAUGUUAAGAAUUAAAGGGGGUGUAGAUCAGUGGUAGGGCGCACGCUUAGCAUGCAUGAGGCCCUGGGUCAAUCCCCAGCACCUCCACAAAGGUUUUCUGGCUGGACACGGUGGCUCACACCUGUAAUCUCAGCAUUUUGGGAAGCUGAGUUGGACAGAUCACUAGAGGUCAGGAGUUCGAGACCAGCGUGGCCAACAUGGUGAAACCCUAUUUCUACUAAAAAUACAAAAAAAUUAGCCGGUCACGGUGGCACACACCUGUAAUCUCAGCUACUUGGGAGGCUGAGGCAUGACAAUCGCUUGAACCUGGAAGGCGG